AACGAACGCUGGCGGCAGGCCUAACACAUGCAAGUCGAACGAGAAGCCACCUUCGGGUGGUGGACAGUGGCAGACGGGUGAGUAACGCGUGGGAACGUGCCUUUCGGUUCGGGAUAACCCAGGGAAACUUGUGCUAAUACCGGAUAAGCCCUUACGGGGAAAGAUUUAUCGCCGAAAGAUCGGCCCGCGUCUGAUUAGCUAGUUGGUGGGGUAAUGGCUCACCAAGGCGACGAUCAGUAGCUGGUCUGAGAGGAUGAUCAGCCACAUUGGGACUGAGACACGGCCCAAACUCCUACGGGAGGCAG
RNAcentral lists this ribosomal RNA (305 nucleotides) under uncultured Bacillota bacterium. RNAcentral describes it as "bacterial SSU rRNA". It matches the Rfam family "Bacterial small subunit ribosomal RNA", at positions 29 to 351 of the family's 1533-position model. Lineage: Bacteria; Bacillati; Bacillota. The record is from RNAcentral.